This 65-nucleotide transfer RNA is filed under the name Lipoptena sp. Its description in RNAcentral is "tRNA-Thr". It matches the Rfam family "tRNA". From Rfam's summary of the family: Transfer RNA (tRNA) molecules are approximately 80 nucleotides in length. Their secondary structure includes four short double-helical elements and three loops (D, anti-codon, and T loops). The record is from RNAcentral. Lineage: Eukaryota; Metazoa; Arthropoda; Insecta; Diptera; Hippoboscidae.
GUUUUAAUAGUUUAACUAAAACAUUGGUCUUGUAAAUCAAAAAUAAGAAAAAAUCUUUUAAAACU